Molecule: ribosomal RNA, 433 nt
Filed under: uncultured bacterium
Lineage: Bacteria
Description: partial 16S ribosomal RNA
Rfam family: Bacterial small subunit ribosomal RNA
Source: RNAcentral
AACGAACGCUGGCGGUAUGCCUAACACAUGCAAGUCGAACGAGACCUUCGGGACUAGUGGCGCACGGGUGCGUAAAGCGUGGGAACCUGCCCUUAGGUUCGGAAUAACUCCCCGAAAGGGGGGCUAAUAUCGGAUAAUGUCUUCGGACCAAAGAUUUAUCGCCUUUGGAUGGGCCCGCGUUGGAUUAGCUAGUUGGUAGGGUAAAAGCCUACCAAGGAGACGAUCCAUAGCUGGUCUGAGAGGAUGAUCAGCCACACUGGGACUGAGACACGGCCCAGACUCCUACGGGAGGCAGCAGUGGGGAAUAUUGGACAAUGGGCGAGAGCCUGAUCCAGCAAUGCCGCGUGAGUGAUGAAGGCCUUAGGGUUGUAAAGCUCUUUUACCCGGGAUGAUAAUGACAGUACCGGGAGAAUAAGCUCCGGCUAACUCCGUG